This 425-nucleotide unclassified non-coding RNA is filed under the name Doronicum stenoglossum. RNAcentral's name for it is "partial external transcribed spacer". Lineage: Eukaryota; Viridiplantae; Streptophyta; Magnoliopsida; Asterales; Asteraceae. The record is from RNAcentral.
AUGAGUGGUUUUUGGUUUGUUACGGGUGGUUGGCUCUCUGCUUACGCAACAACUUCCACCUGGCAUACCUCUUCGGUUGUGCUUCAAGGGUUGUAUUCCCCUUGAGCCUUUUGUGGGUUUCAUGUGUUGCUUACCUAAUCGACGGUAUUUUUUGGAUCGAUCAACGUCCCUUUUUCGUCUUGUGUUGCACUUGUUGGAUGAGACGAACCUUGAAGUUGUCUCUAUGACCCAUCAUGAUGAUGCACAUGUGUUGAUUUUGUGGGUCAUUGAGUAUUGCUUGGUCUCUUGGAUACGGAAUGUCAUGUGGGUACGGGGUCUCUACCGAUCCUUGUUUUGCCCUUGUCAAGCGUUCUCGCUUCUCUAAAACGACAGACUCUUGUGUGUUGGCUAGCCUGUGCACGCUUGUCUACGUCGAAGAGGAAUGC